RNAcentral lists this ribosomal RNA (247 nucleotides) under uncultured bacterium. RNAcentral describes it as "partial 16S ribosomal RNA". It matches the Rfam family "Bacterial small subunit ribosomal RNA", at positions 57 to 305 of the family's 1533-position model. The record is from RNAcentral.
GCAAGUCGAACGGUAAGGUCUCUUCGGAGAUACACGAGUGGCGCACGGGUGAGUAACGCGUAUGCAACCUACCUUUUACAGGGAGAUAGCCCGAAGAAAUUCGGAUUAAUACCCCAUAGUACAUGACCACCGCAUGGUGGAUAUGUUAAAGCUCCGGCGGUAAAAGAUGGGCAUGCGUGACAUUAGAUUGUUGGUGAGGUAACGGCUCACCAAGUCUACGAUGUCUAGGGGGUCUGAGAGGAUGGUC